Long non-coding RNA from Mytilus californianus (California mussel), 2271 nucleotides. RefSeq lists it as uncharacterized. The record is from RefSeq and is a predicted model, not a curated record. Lineage: Eukaryota; Metazoa; Mollusca; Bivalvia; Mytilida; Mytilidae. The transcript has 6 exons.
ACCUGUAUUAUUUAUUAAGAUUACAAUUAAUGCAUUAUUCAAAACUUAUACAUCAUACAUCGGUAGAAAAGACGUUAACUAUGAUAACACUCGGAUGACACUAAAGAUGGUUCACAUUCAACAAUGAGCACAACACAUAAUGUGACUAAAACUGGCAAUGCUAUUAAAGGUCCUGGUUACACACAAUCUGAAACAAUUUAAUCCAGAAAACUAAUUGACUGAUUCUUGCUAAAAAUAUAAAUAAAAUAAACGAAUUAAACUAUGCGAUGUUUCUCACACAGAAGAAACUCUAUAAGUAUCCGUUUACAUGACGUUGAUAAAUGUGCCACACAGAAUAGCAUGCUAAAGUAAAGCUUGAUACAAUACAAUAGAUAGCCAUGCUUUGUAGAUCCUACAGAAAAUGCAACGGAAUGUUUAUGCACAACCAUAAGGUGUAUAUAAGUAUCCAAUAAGCAGACGUUGACAUACGAUAUUAACCGGUAAUACUAACAGAACAAACAAUCGUACAAAUACUUGCUUUACUACUAAUUGUUUUCUAUUUUUAUCUAUUUUUUAAUAAUUUGUAAUCAUGAAGUUGAAUUGAUUAAUCUGUUAAGAUAUUUUCACAACAACAAGAUACAGUUAUUGGAGAGUAAUACUUUUAUCAACAUGACAAACUUGUAUUACAUACACUUGAGUGCAAACAAUAUCACCCAUAUCAAAGAACACGCUUUUGGAAACCUAACGUCUUUGAAUUACUUGCACCUCUAUGGGAACCCACUCAAUUGUGACUGCAGAAUUGUUUCAUUCUGGUCAUGGUUAAUUGAAAGAGCAUCCAUUGGAACAAGUGCCAAAUGUAGCAACGGAAUAUUAGUUUCAUCACUGCAAUCAGCUGCGCUUGAAACAUGUAAUCCUGAUAAAUGCCACUGCUUCAAUCGUGGGAAAUGUGUGGCAAGGGUCAAUGAACUUGUUUGUGACUGCAUUGGACAAUGGACCGGUGAAUUUUGUCAAGACAGUCAGUGUAUCUCAUAUGACUGUGGAUUUGGUGACUGCUAUAUAGAGCCUAUGAAUGGUACAGCUCAGUGUUUGUUUGGCGACAGAUGUGUUAACUAUUGUCAUGGUAAGUUGUGUUAUAUUUAAUUACAAAGUAAAAUAAAUAUUGUUUUAAAAAAAUAGCAUCCGUUAUAUUUGGAAGGCAUGAUCACUUUUUCCAUUUAAUUUGUUUACAUUGCAUUUCAUUUGAUAUAUUGCAUAACAUGUAAUUAGCACAAAUUGCAAAUAGAACAAAAGAAGCAACGUAAAACAUUAUGUAAAAUGCUAUUAUUAUAGCAUAUGUAGAUGAAUUAUUGUUCGAGUAUUUAUCUAUCUGUAAUACAGUGUACCUUAGAUUGCUAACACAUGACAUGUUUUAGGAGUUGGUGUAUUAUAUAUUUUAUCUAAUUCAUAAAUGAUAAGCCAACCUCUAAUUACAUACAUUGUUUAUAUCUUUUCGUUUUUUGUUCUUUUUAUAAUUAAACAUAUUUACAUAAGGUAUAAAAGUCAAUCAUGUGUCUUUUAAAUCUAUUGAGUAUAAACCUAAUAUUUGUGAAUGCAAUUACUAAAACUUAUACAUCAAUGCACUGUUCUAUUAUCAUUUCAUGAUUCUAUGAUAACACGAGAAAGAAUCUGGAUAAAUAUCUGUAACAGAAGAUGAAGAUGCGGAGUAUGACGAUAAAAUAACGAGCAAGCGAAUGCAGACGAGCGGGUUUGAAUGCAUUGAUAUGUUUGUCGGAAAAAAGAUGGAAAGAAAUGCAAGGCAGACAUACAGAUAACAAAAGUUUUUUCUGUAAUUCAACAUGAAGUCUGCAUUUAUAUCAAAACAAGAUAUAAUAACUACGAUACAACACUGAAAUGGGACUUCUCUUUCGUGUAUUUAUAAUAGUCAACUAACAAAAAGAGACGAAAUAUUUCUAACAUUCACCAUAUGAGAGAUAUAAAUGAUAUAACACCCAUAUGAGACUAAUUUCAUUUUAUAUGUUAUUAUUAUAUGAUGUUACACAUUAUUAGAAGACAUAUGUGCAAAACUUGAUGUAAAAUGGGGAGAAUAGUUAUGCCUUUCAUUAAUUGUACAACUCUAAAGUGUAAUUUCUAUUGUUUCUUUAAAUCUGGACACAACACUGAUUUUUACCAUAUACCCCCAUGCUUCCUUCCACAGUAUAUUUAGUACAUCCUUGCCUUAAACAUGAAUUUUGUAUGUAAAACAACUUUAACUGGUUCCAAAAAGCUUUCAUUCCAUUAAUAUUUAGUGCAUUC